This 288-nucleotide long non-coding RNA is filed under the name Citrus sinensis (sweet orange). RNAcentral describes it as "long non-coding RNA (CSIN_LNC004167)". The record is from RNAcentral. Lineage: Eukaryota; Viridiplantae; Streptophyta; Magnoliopsida; Sapindales; Rutaceae.
AAAUGUUUUCCAGUUCACUUUCAAACGACAUAACAAACUCAUCGAAUUGAGCUUCUAUGCUAGAGAAAUUUUCGCCAGCAUCAAGGUCAAACGUAUCUGGAAGCAAGUCAGCUACAUUGCUGACAUCAAAUUCAUCAUCUCCACCAUUGUCAUAAAAGCCAUCCUCGUCUUGAUGCUGGCUGAGCCAGUAGUUGUGGUACCAUGUGGAGGUCGUGAUCAGCUGCCACCAUUCGGGGGAGAAAUCCUCCACUUGGCGAAAAGCAGCCGGAAUGAAGAGUGGGGCAUUGG